AGGUGCACAGAAGAAAAGCUAUGUGAGAAACCAUCAAAAAGGUGGUGUCUGCAAGCCUGUAGAGACCUCACUGAAAACCAACACUGGCACCUGGAUUUUGGACAUGUAGCCUCCUUAUUGGCUUUAACCACUGUCAAGUUUUGUUACUGUGGACCCUGCCUGUCAUGCUCAAAUCUCU
This is a long non-coding RNA of Pipistrellus kuhlii (Kuhl's pipistrelle), 178 nucleotides long. RefSeq lists it as uncharacterized. NCBI's taxonomy places the organism in Eukaryota, Metazoa, Chordata, Mammalia, Chiroptera, Vespertilionidae. The record is from RefSeq and is a predicted model, not a curated record. The transcript has 2 exons.